This 440-nucleotide ribosomal RNA is filed under the name uncultured bacterium. RNAcentral describes it as "partial 16S ribosomal RNA". It matches the Rfam family "Bacterial small subunit ribosomal RNA", at positions 338 to 795 of the family's 1533-position model. The record is from RNAcentral.
CCUACGGGUGGCAGCAGUAGGGAAUAUUGCUCAAUGGGGGAAACCCUGAAGCAGCAACGCCGCGUGGAGGAUGAAGGUUUUCGGAUUGUAAACUCCUUUUGUUAGAGAAGAUAAUGACGGUAUCUAACGAAUAAGCACCGGCUAACUCCGUGCCAGCAGCCGCGGUAAUACGGAGGGUGCAAGCGUUACUCGGAAACACUGGGCGGAAAGAGCGCGUAGGAGGGAUAGCAAGUCAGAUGUGAAAUCCUAUGGCUUAACCAUAGAACUGCAUUUGAAACUGUUAUUCUAGAGUAUGGGAGAGGUAGGUGGAAUUCUUGGUGUAGGGGUAAAAUCCGUAGAGAUCAAGAGGAAUACUCAUUGCGAAGGCGGCUUGCUGGACUGUAACUGACACUGAGGCUCGAAAGCGUGGGGAGCAAACAGGAUUAGAGACCCUGGUAGUC